This 283-nucleotide ribosomal RNA is filed under the name uncultured prokaryote. Its description in RNAcentral is "partial 16S ribosomal RNA". It matches the Rfam family "Archaeal small subunit ribosomal RNA", at positions 474 to 754 of the family's 1478-position model. The record is from RNAcentral.
CACCGGCGGCUCGAGUGGUAACCGUUAUUAUUGGGUCUAAACGGUCUGUAGCCGGCCGGAUAAGUCUCUUGAGAAAUCUGGCAGCUUAACUGUCAGGCUUUCAGGAGAUACUGUCUGGCUCGAGGCCGGGAGAGGUGAGAGGUACUUCAGGGGUAGGGGUGAAAUCUUGUAAUCCUUGAAGGACCACCAGUGGCGAAGGCGUCUCACCAGAACGGACCUGACGGCAAGGGACGAAAGCUAGGGGCACGAACCGGAUUAGAUACCCUGGUAGUCCCUGAGCGGG